CAGUCGCCACGGGAAUACAGAGGUCUCAAGCGUUGUUCGGAUUCAUUGGGCGUAAAGGAUGCGUAGGUGGCGGUGUAAGUCUAACGUGAAAUCUCGGGGCUCAACCUCGAAAUUGCGUCGGAUACUGCAUUGCUAGAGGAUUGUAGAGGAGAGUGGAAUUCAUGGUGUAGCAGUGAAAUGCGUAGAUAUCAUGAGGAAGACCAGUUGCGAAGGCGACUCUCUGGGCAAUUCCUGACACUGAGGCACGAAGGCUAGGGGAGCAAACGGGAUUAGAUACCCCGGUAGUCCCUGUCUCUUAUAC
RNAcentral lists this ribosomal RNA (301 nucleotides) under uncultured bacterium. Its description in RNAcentral is "partial 16S ribosomal RNA". It matches the Rfam family "Bacterial small subunit ribosomal RNA", at positions 509 to 807 of the family's 1533-position model. The record is from RNAcentral.